GAGCUGCUCGCUGUUCCUUUUUCCUAUGCAUAUACUUCUUUGAGGGUCAGGCCUAAAGAGGUGUAAGGCAUGGGAAAAUGGGGCAGCGAGGUCCUCCCC
MicroRNA precursor from Panthera pardus (leopard), 99 nucleotides. NCBI's taxonomy places the organism in Eukaryota, Metazoa, Chordata, Mammalia, Carnivora, Felidae. The record is from Ensembl.